AUCCACCUGAGGAGUCCCAAGUAGGACGAAACAUGCGUCCUGGAU
This 45-nucleotide non-coding RNA is filed under the name Schistosoma margrebowiei. Lineage: Eukaryota; Metazoa; Platyhelminthes; Trematoda; Strigeidida; Schistosomatidae. The record is from RNAcentral.